Molecule: ribosomal RNA, 914 nt
Filed under: uncultured marine archaeon
Lineage: Archaea
Description: bacterial SSU rRNA
Rfam family: Archaeal small subunit ribosomal RNA
Source: RNAcentral
UUCCGGUUGAUCCCGCCGGACCUGACUGCUAUCGGAUUGAUACUAAGCCAUGCGAGUCUUUGCAGUAAUGCAAGGCAGACGGCUCAGUAACACGUAGUCAACCUACCCUAUGGACAAGAAUAAUCUCGGGAAACUGAGCAUAAUUCUUGAUAGAUCAUAAUGCCUGGAAUGGUAUAUGGUUAAAAUGAUUCGUCGCCAUAGGAUGGGACUGCGGCCUAUCAGCUUGUUGGUGAGGUAAUGGCCCACCAAGGCGAUAACAGGUACGGGCUCUGAGAGGAGAAGCCCGGAGAUGGGUACUGAGACAAGGACCCAGGCCCUAUGGGGCGCAGCAGGCGAGAAAACUUUGCAAUGUGCGAAAGCACGACAAGGUUAGUCCGAGUGAUUUCUGCUAAAGAGAUCUUUUGCUAGUUAUAAAACCACUAGUGAAUAAGGGGUGGGCAAGUUCUGGUGUCAGCCGCCGCGGUAAAACCAGCACCUCAAGUGGUCAGGAUGAUUAUUGGGCCUAAAGCAUCCGUAGCCGGCUCUGUAAGUUUUCGGUUAAAUCUAUACGCUCAACGUAUGGGCUGCCGAAAAUACUGUAGAGAUAGGGAGUGGGAGAGGUAGACGGUACUCGGUAGGAAGGGGUAAAAUCCUUUGAUCUAUCGAUGACCACCUGUGGCGAAGGCGGUCUACCAGAACACGUUCGACGGUGAGGGAUGAAAGCUGGGGGAGCAAACCGGAUUAGAUACCCGGGUAGUCCCAGCUGUAAACGAUGCAGACUCGAUGAUGCAUUGGCAUAUAGCCAGUGCAGUGUCGCAGGGAAGCCGUUAAGUCUGCCGCCUGGGAAGUACGUACGCAAGUAUGAAACUUAAAGGAAUUGGCGGGGGAGCACCACAAGGGGUGAAGCCUGCGGUUCAAUUGGAUUCAACGCCGGG